Molecule: long non-coding RNA, 1536 nt
Organism: Oncorhynchus tshawytscha (Chinook salmon)
Lineage: Eukaryota; Metazoa; Chordata; Actinopteri; Salmoniformes; Salmonidae
Source: Ensembl
GGCAGUCUGGUGAUUAAAGUGUGUGUGUGUGUGUGGGCAGUUCAGUGUGCUUGCAGAUUAAUGUGCGCAUGUGCCUCUGCUGAACAUGUGUCUAUUAAAGCAGAGUCUGAUCUCAGAGAGACUCAGAUGGAGAGACAGAGAGACAAACAGACAGAUAGACAGACAGACAGACACCAUGUCUCCCUCCCAGUCCUCCCUACUUCUGCUACUGCUGAUGGUCUCCUGCUCCUGGGCCUCACACUUUUUAGGAGGAACCAUGACCUUCAACCCCAGAGGGACCAACCCAGACGGAACCUACAGGGUGGACCUCCGUUACAAGACAGCCUUCCACUCUACCGUCUGCCUAACUGAUACCUGGUCGUGUAUCAGUGGGGACUGUGGGAAUGAGAUCAGUUUAGUGGUUAACACAGUGGACCAGGGGAUAUCUGAGGACUGGUGUCAGACAGAGGGAGUCAUGACUAGACACGUCUCCAAUAACACACAGACUUUUGAUCUGCUAUUGGAUGGCGGAAACUGGAUAAACAAUGUUAAUUCUGUUAGUGCUUGGAGGCUGUGGACUCAUGUGGAUCUUGGGGUCAGGUCUGACACGAAGACAAUCAACCGAUCUCCACAGACCACUGUCGUACCUCUGAUGCGUGUCCCUGCUAAUUGUCCAAGAGAUUUCAACCUGUUGUCGUUUGAUCCAGACGGGGAUGAGGUCAGAUGCAGAUAUGCAGUACCAACGGACGAGUGUGUCACAUCAAGUGACCUUCCUAAUGACUUCACUCUACAAGAGAACUGCACCUUGUCAUUUUGGGGCAACAGUAGUACCACUGGAACAUAUGCAGUUCAGAUAGUGAUGGAGGAUUUCCCGACUCAGACCAUCUCUCUCUCCUAUACUGACGGAUCUCAAUCUAUCAGGACCUCAAACAACACACUCUGCAAACUACCUGUUCAGUUUGCAGUGAGAGUGGACCCCCCGGUGACAUCCUGUAUGGAGGGCUUGUACCUACCUAUGUUCCUGUCUCCAACGCCAGCCCAGGGUGCACUGCUCUACGCCUCUGCAGACCAACCCCUGGAAAUCACUGUCAGAGCACAGGCUACCCAGUCCACGGUUUCAGAGCUGUUGGUGAGUGGACCUUCCAGUAUCACAGAGAACACCACUGUCCCAGGAGAAUACCUUCUAAGGUGGACGCCCACUGAGGAUGAGGAGGGAGGGUACUAUCCUGUGUGCUUCAUCGCUCAGGGAGUGAACGACAGUUCCAUGUAUCACUCUGAGCUGCGCUGCCUGAUCGUCAGGGUUGGAAACACAAGUGCCAUCAGAACCACAGAGGAACCAACAACCUCCCCUCCUCCGGCAAUAAACCUCACAACAACAGAGGAACAAACAACCUCCCCUCCUCUGACAAUAAACCUCACAACCACAGAGGAACCAACAACCUCCCCUCCUCUGACAACAAACCUCACGACCACAGAGGAACCAACACCCUCCCCUCCUCUGACAACAAACCUCACGACCACAGAGGAACCAACAACCUCCCCUCCUCUGACAAUAAA